Myotis myotis is the source of this 286-nucleotide long non-coding RNA. RefSeq lists it as uncharacterized. The record is from RefSeq and is a predicted model, not a curated record. NCBI's taxonomy places the organism in Eukaryota, Metazoa, Chordata, Mammalia, Chiroptera, Vespertilionidae. The transcript has 2 exons.
UCUGCCGCAAGGAAGACGCCGGAAGUCCCGGCCAGGCACGUCCCGCGCCCCCAGCGCACGGCGCGGAGGCCUCUGGAUAAUGUAGUCUGCCCGCCCAGGCAUGUUCCGCGUCUGCAGCGCCCAGCGCGUACGCCUCUGGAUUUGUCCAGCCCUGACUGCAUCGUUCAGUUGAUAAAAAUGUUAUUUUGAUACACCAAAGUUGUGAUUUUGAUUUCAAUCUGGGCACAUAAAGGGGUCAUAUAAUGAAUGCAUAAACAAGUGGAUAAUAAAUCAAUGUGUCUUUCUA